Molecule: ribosomal RNA, 429 nt
Filed under: Actinomycetes bacterium
Lineage: Bacteria; Bacillati; Actinomycetota; Actinomycetes
Description: Actinobacteria bacterium partial 16S ribosomal RNA
Rfam family: Bacterial small subunit ribosomal RNA
Source: RNAcentral
UAGGGAAUCUUCCGCAAUGGGCGAAAGCCUGACGGAGCAACGCCGCGUGAGUGAUGAAGGUCUUCGGAUCGUAAAACUCUGUUAUUAGGGAAGAACAAAUGUGUAAGUAACUAUGCACGUCUUGACGGUACCUAAUCAGAAAGCCACGGCUAACUACGUGCCAGCAGCCGCGGUAAUACGUAGGAGGCAAGCGUUAUCCGGAAUUAUUGGGCGUAAAGCGCGCGUAGGCGGUUUUUUAAGUCUGAUGUGAAAGCCCACGGCUCAACCGUGGAGGGUCAUUGGAAACUGGAAAACUUGAGUGCAGAAGAGGAAAGUGGAAUUCCAUGUGUAGCGGUGAAAUGCGCAGAGAUAUGGAGGAACACCAGUGGCGAAGGCGACUUUCUGGUCUGUAACUGACGCUGAUGUGCGAAAGCGUGGGGAUCAAACAGG